This 84-nucleotide small nuclear RNA is filed under the name Mola mola (ocean sunfish). Lineage: Eukaryota; Metazoa; Chordata; Actinopteri; Tetraodontiformes; Molidae. The record is from RNAcentral.
UAAAGAGUUGGAACAAUGCAGAGAGGAUUGGCAUGGACCCUGUGCAAGGAUGACAUGCGAAUUUGUGAAGUGUUCCUCAUUUAC